AGAGUUUGAUCAUGGCUCAGGAUGAACGCUGGCGGCGUGCUUAACACAUGCAAGUCGAGCGAGAGAACUCGGAGGAAAACUUCGGUCGGAAUUCGAAUGAUCUAGCGGCGGACGGGUGAGUAACGCGUGGGAAACCUGCCUUGUACAAGGGGAUAGCCUCGGGAAACCGGGAUUAAUACCCUAUGAAACCACAAGAACACAUGUUCUAAUGGUCAAAGCUCCGGCGGUACAAGAUGGUCCCGCGUCUGAUUAGCUAGUUGGAGAGGUAACGGCUCACCAAGGCGACGAUCAGUAGCCGGCCUGAGAGGGUGAACGGCCACACUGGAACUGAGACACGGUCCAGACUCCUACGGGAGGCAGCAGUGGGGAAUAUUGCACAAUGGGGGAAACCCUGAUGCAGCGACGCCGCGUGAGCGAAGAAGGCUUUCGGGUCGUAAAGCUCUGUCCUAAGGGAAGAUAGUGACGGUACCUUAGGAGGAAGCCCCGGCUAACUACGUGCCAGCAGCCGCGGUAAUACGUAGGGGGCGAGCGUUAUCCGGAAUUAUUGGGCGUAAAGGGUUCGCAGGUGGCCUGAUAAGUCAGAUGUGAAAGGCAGUGGCUCAACCAUUGCAAGCAUUU
RNAcentral lists this ribosomal RNA (618 nucleotides) under bacterium enrichment culture clone F10 1.694-23. RNAcentral describes it as "bacterial SSU rRNA". It matches the Rfam family "Bacterial small subunit ribosomal RNA", at positions 8 to 628 of the family's 1533-position model. The record is from RNAcentral.